This 17-nucleotide ribosomal RNA is filed under the name Carpinus turczaninowii (Korean hornbeam). RNAcentral describes it as "partial 18S ribosomal RNA". The record is from RNAcentral. Lineage: Eukaryota; Viridiplantae; Streptophyta; Magnoliopsida; Fagales; Betulaceae.
CUGACGGAGGAUCAUUG